Molecule: non-coding RNA, 2030 nt
Organism: Triticum urartu
Lineage: Eukaryota; Viridiplantae; Streptophyta; Magnoliopsida; Poales; Poaceae
Source: RefSeq, a predicted model, not a curated record
ACCAUCCAACGGUGGCUGGACACUCAGUUGCUAUCCCAAGCAAAUCCCAUGUGCGCUUUGGGUUAUUCGAUAUGCACGCGGCCGCCGCCGCCGCUCGCCCGCCGUUCGUCCCCAGUAACGGAAGCUUCUAGAAACCUCACCAGCCGCCGCGGAUGCGCACCUGCCUUCUCCCGGCGUCCCCCUUCCCAGCGCGCGUUACGGGCGCCAGCCUCCCACACCGCGACGCACUGCACUGGCCGUGAGAGACUGGCAGGCUUGGAACUUCGGAUCGCAUUGCGCUGCUGGGUGGUCGCUGAGUCCUGGAGUCGCCGCGGCGAACGGAUUGUAACCAGCUUCUGUGCGUGUAUCAGUGAUCUCCUGGAGUUCUCCAGCAACUAAGCAUCAAACCGAGAGGCAGCAUGGAUGGUAUCUCUCUGCAGAGUUGAAGACAGGAAGGUUAGGAGGAAUAAAACAGUAUAUGAUACUCUUGAAAUAAAGCUCUUGCUUCUAUGCAUGUGAACACAUGUGAGCCGUACACAUUCAGGCAGGAAUAUCAACAAUCACAGAAUGACAAAACAAAUCUUGAAAGGUAUUUGGAAGAGUACGUACAAAGUUCCUGGUACGGCAACUUCCCUGGACAACUAGGUUUGUCAUGUUACCAAUGAGGGAGGGACUCCAUAGUAGUGAAGUGAAAUUUUAGUCCCAAGGUAAAAAGAAUAUGCUUUGCUGCCUGCGUAAAGUCAUGAUAUAUGCUACUCCCUCCGAUCCGAAUUAAUUGAUGCAACCUCUAUACAUUGCAUCAUUUAAUUCGGAUCGGAGGGAGUACUGAUCUUGCCGUGAAGUAAUUGGAAGCAUUUUACUGGCCUCCGAAAUGAAAAACUGGAUAUAACAUUCUAGUUGAAGAUAAAGGAUUGUUACGAUUAAUUUCUCGCAAGGGUCCUGGGCUCAUUGGAAAAUUAAAAUCUUGUGCCGCCGCAAAGAUUAGUUUACACUAUGAGAAUAGGGGAUUCAAUAAUAUUCUUCUCUUUGGCUGCGUAGCUAACCAGAAAUGUUUCCAUUUGCUUUUAUUUUGUGAUGCUGUCAAAGUAACAACUGAAGUGAGCUUAAAUGCUGUUACAGCUCUUAGCAUCCUCUCCCAUGCUCUGCAUGUUGGCAGUUAUGUUGUAUACUUCUUCUGGUCAGUAGAUAGGUCUAUUCAAUAUGCCUGGGACCAUUUUCUUGGGCAAUAAUAAAGGCCAGUCACCACUAGUAUCAUUACUUUCUGAUCCUUGAGCAAUCUAAUCAUCUACCAGACAUUAAAUAUUUUUUCUCGUUGAUCACAGGUAAAGAACCUUGUGUUAUUUGUGUCGCUUCCUAUUUCAUAUAUCCUCUUCUGACAAUCUAAAUAAUAAGAAUAUACUCCCUCUGUACACUAAUAUAAGACGUUUUAGAUCACUACUUUACUACUAGUUAAGUUGAAAUAAGCCUUAUACACAGUAAUACAUUAUCUCCAUGGUUGUAGAUGUUUCAUGCACCUUUCUUGCGACGCGUGGCUGUUACUGGAAACUUACAACCACUUGAAAUUGACCAUGUCUUGCUUAUUUGCCUUCGCCUGGGAGUAUCAAGAAAGAAAUAUCCUGCUUUCUGGAUCCUGUGAGCAAAUGUGCAAGUUGCGCGGCUUCAGCUUAUCCUGCCUCACAAAGUCACAAUCCACUGACUUCCAUCACGGGCUUCCUGGGAGCUUUGCAUCUUGGUGACAUCUGUGCCCGCAUCUGGAAAUGAUUUGGUUUUCCAUGCACAGAAGUGCAAAUUCGUGGAGAAUGGAGAUGACUCUGGGAUUUUCGGCCCAUUUUCGCAGAGUAGUGGCUUCCGUGUUGUUGACCAGCAGGGACCCCUAUGUGUAAGAAUUUUAUAAACCACUGACCGGUUGGAUUAGGUUUCAGCUUGUAGAUUUUGCAUGUGAUUUGAGUUUUGCCGUUUUGGAAAUGGAAACCGAUGUAACUGGUUAAUUGCAAGACUGGAUUUUCUCUUGAAAAGAAGUACUGAAUUGGGCAAAGACUAGUUUUGACUGA